GGAAUAUUGGACAAUGGCCGAGAGGCUGAUCCAGCCAUGCCGCGUGCGGGAAGACGGCCCUAUGGGUUGUAAACUGCUUUUAUACGGGGAUAAAGUGAGGGACGUGUCCCUUAUUGUAGGUACCGUAUGAAUAAGGACCGGCUAAUUCCGUGCCAGCAGCCGCGGUAAUACGGAAGGUCCGGGCGUUAUCCGGAUUUAUUGGGUUUAAAGGGAGCGCAGGCCGACUGGUAAGCGUGACGUGAAAUGUAGCCGCUCAACGGCUGAACUGCGUCGCGAACUGUCAGUCUUGAGUGAGUUCGAUGUUGGCGGAAUUCGUGGUGUAGCGGUGAAAUGCUUAGAUAUCACGAAGAACUCCGAUUGCGAAGGCAGCCAACAAGGCCUUUACUGACGCUAAAGCUCGAAGGUGCGGGUAUCGAACA
RNAcentral lists this ribosomal RNA (419 nucleotides) under uncultured Prevotella sp. RNAcentral's name for it is "bacterial SSU rRNA". It matches the Rfam family "Bacterial small subunit ribosomal RNA", at positions 358 to 774 of the family's 1533-position model. Lineage: Bacteria; Pseudomonadati; Bacteroidota; Bacteroidia; Bacteroidales; Prevotellaceae. The record is from RNAcentral.